GAUGAACGCUGGCGGCGUGCCUAAUACAUGCAAGUCGAGCGAACAGACGAGGAGCUUGCUCCUCUGACGUUAGCGGCGGACGGGUGAGUAACACGUGGAUAACCUACCUAUAAGACUGGGAUAACUUCGGGAAACCGGAGCUAAUACCGGAUAAUAUAUUGAACCGCAUGGUUCAAUAGUGAAAGACGGUUUUGCUGUCACUUAUAGAUGGAUCCGCGCCGCAUUAGCUAGUUGGUAAGGUAACGGCUUACCAAGGCGACGAUGCGUAGCCGACCUGAGAGGGUGAUCAGCCACACUGGAACUGGGACACGGUCCAGACUCCUACGGGAGGCAGCAGUAGGGAAUCUUCCGCAAUGGGCGAAAGCCUGACGGAGCAACGCCGCGUGAGUGAUGAAGGUCUUCGGAUCGUAAAACUCUGUUAUUAGGGAAGAACAAAUGUGUAAGUAACUAUGCACGUCUUGACGGUACCUAAUCAGAAAGCCACGGCUAACUACGUG
Molecule: ribosomal RNA, 497 nt
Filed under: uncultured bacterium
Lineage: Bacteria
Description: partial 16S ribosomal RNA
Rfam family: Bacterial small subunit ribosomal RNA
Source: RNAcentral